Molecule: ribosomal RNA, 330 nt
Filed under: Triticum aestivum (bread wheat)
Lineage: Eukaryota; Viridiplantae; Streptophyta; Magnoliopsida; Poales; Poaceae
Description: partial small subunit ribosomal RNA
Source: RNAcentral
AUGGCGGAGGCUACUGCUCUCAAAUUUGGUCUAACCUUGGCGCAAAGGGCGGGAUGCAACCGCAUUGUCGUAAAUUCGGAUAACAUGGAGGCGAUUGAGUCUAUGAAUGAUGGAGGGCAGUCGGCGGUAGCAAUCUUCGAAGACUAUUUUCAUUAAGCCUGUGAUUUUGUUACUAUUAGAUUUGAGCACUGUAAUAGGGAAGCAAAUAAAGUAGCUCGUGAGCUUGCUAGGUUAGCCAUGUUUUCUUUGAUUUCUGAUUGGUUUGAGGAGCCUUUAAACGAAAUUGUAAUGCUUCUCACAAACAAUAUACUAAUUAUUACAAAUGAAUAA